GUUGAGAUUUCCCUCCAGAUGUCAACGUCUAAGAGUGAUAAGAUGUACGGAUCCAAUGGCGAUUGGGACCUGUAUAACAACGAAGAGUCCUCACGUGCUGUAGUGAGAGAGUGAAAUAGUCCGACUACCUGUCGUACGAUUCUGUUCCAUGCCCGACCUGUCAAAAUUCGGUAGGGGUUCCUGGUAUACAUGCCACCUACAAGAUAGGGUAUAAUAUAG
Molecule: non-coding RNA, 219 nt
Organism: Pelobates cultripes (western spadefoot toad)
Lineage: Eukaryota; Metazoa; Chordata; Amphibia; Anura; Pelobatidae
Source: the annotation of a GenBank genome assembly